RNAcentral lists this ribosomal RNA (504 nucleotides) under uncultured Gram-positive bacterium. Its description in RNAcentral is "bacterial SSU rRNA". It matches the Rfam family "Bacterial small subunit ribosomal RNA", at positions 8 to 521 of the family's 1533-position model. The record is from RNAcentral.
AGAGUUUGAUCCUGGCUCAGGACGAAGCUGGCGGCGCGCCUAACACAUGCAAGUCGAACGGAGAUUUUAGGAGCUUGCUUUUGAAAUCUUAGUGGCGGACGGGUGAGUAACGCGUGAGUACCCUGCCUUUCAGAGGGGGAUAACGGCUGGAAACGGCCGCUAAUACCGCAUGACAUAUUGAGAUCGCAUGGUCUUGAUAUCAAAGGAGCAAUCCGCUGGAAGAUGGACUCGCGUCCAAUUAGCUAGUUGGUGAGGUAAAGGCCCACCAAGGCGACGAUUGGUAGCCGGACUGAGAGGUUGAACGGCCACAUUGGGACUGAGACACGGCCCAGACUCCUACGGGAGGCAGCAGUGGGGAAUAUUGCACCAAUGGGGGAAACCCUGAUGCAGCGACGCCGCGUGAGGGAAGAAGGUUUUCGGAUUGUAAACCUCUGUCCUUGGUGAAGAAGGAAGACGGUAGCCAAAGGAGGAAGCCACGGCUAACUACGUGCCAGCAGCCGCGGU